ACGUACACUCCUGCGGGAGGCAGCAGUGGGGAAUAUUGCACAAUGGGCGCAAGCCUGAUGCAGCCAUGCCGCGUGUAUGAAGAAGGCCUUCGGGUUGUAAAGUACUUUCAGCGGGGAGGAAGGUGUUGAGGUUAAUAACCUCAGCAAUUGACGUUACCCGCAGAAGAAGCACCGGCUAACUCCGUGCCAGCAGCCGCGGUAAUACGGAGGGUGCAAGCGUUAAUCGGAAUUACUGGGCGUAAAGCGCACGCAGGCGGUCUGUCAAGUCGGAUGUGAAAUCCCCGGGCUCAACCUGGGAACUGCAUUCGAAACUGGCAGGCUAGAGUCUUGUAGAGGGGGGUAGAAUUCCAGGUGUAGCGGUGAAACGCGUAGAGAUCUGGAGGAAUACCGGUGGCGAAGGCGGCCCCCUGGACAAAGACUGACGCUCAGGUGCGAAAGCGUGGGGAGCAAACAGGAUUAGAAACCCUAGUAGUCC
Molecule: ribosomal RNA, 475 nt
Filed under: uncultured organism
Description: partial 16S ribosomal RNA
Rfam family: Bacterial small subunit ribosomal RNA
Source: RNAcentral